GAAAUGCGAUAAGUAAUGUGAAUUGCAGAAUUCAGUGAAUCAUCGAAUCUUUGAACGCACCUUGCGCUCCUUGGUAUUCCUUGGAGCAUGCCUGAUUGAGUAUCAUGAAAUCUUCAAAGUAAAUCUUUUGUUAACUCAAUUGGUUUCUACUUUGGUAUUGGAGGUCUUUGCAGCUUCACACCUGCUCCUCUUUGUUCAUUAGCUGGAUCUCAGUGUUAUGCUUGGUUCCACUCGGCGUGAUAAGUUAUCUAUCGCUGAGGACACUGUAAAAGGUGGCCAAGGUAAAUGCAGAUGAACCGCUUCUAAUAGUCCAUUGACUUGGACAAUACUUUUAUGAUCUGAUCUCAAAUCAGGUAGGACUACCCGCUGAACUGAAG
RNAcentral lists this unclassified non-coding RNA (377 nucleotides) under plant metagenome. RNAcentral describes it as "partial contains 5.8S ribosomal RNA, internal transcribed spacer 2, and large subunit ribosomal RNA". The stretch from base 1 to 105 matches the Rfam family "5.8S ribosomal RNA", at positions 50 to 154 of the family's 154-position model. The record is from RNAcentral.